RNAcentral lists this ribosomal RNA (468 nucleotides) under uncultured bacterium. Its description in RNAcentral is "partial 16S ribosomal RNA". It matches the Rfam family "Bacterial small subunit ribosomal RNA", at positions 28 to 507 of the family's 1533-position model. The record is from RNAcentral.
GAUGAACGCUGGCGGCGUGCUUAACACAUGCAAGUCGAACGGAACGGCCCUGCCUGUUUGCUGUGCUCGAGUGGCGAACGUGUGUGUGUGACGUGAGUAACCUUACCUCGUCGUUGGGCUACCUUCUGGUGACGGGGGCUAAUUCCGGACGGGUGCUCCUGCUGCAUAGUGGGGGAUUGAAACUUUCGGUGGUGGGGGAUGGGAUCGCGGCUUAUCAGCUUGUCGGGGGGGUAGUGGCUUACCAAGGCUUGGCAGGGUAGCCGGCCUGAGAGGGUGACCGGCCACAUUGGGACGGAGAUACGGCACAGACUCGUACGGGAGGCAGCAGUGGGGAAUAUUGCAUAAUGGGCGGAAGCCUGAUGUAGCGACGCCGCGUGCGGGGUGACAGCCUUCGGGUUGUAAACCGCUUUCGCCUGUGAAGAGGCGUGAGUGACGGUAAUGGGUAAAGAAGCACCGGCUAACUACGUG